UUGCUGUUGUUGAGGACUCGUCGAUGUUGGUUGACAAGGAUUUGUCUGCAGGCAAGGCGGACUCACUUCCAUAUCGUAAUAAGAAGCCGGUGUUUGGCUAAGCGGAGGCGUGUAACUAUCCUCCAUCGCCCACCAGCUACCCUCCACUCGGCCUAACUUCGAUGGGCUUUCGCCCAUAUCCAUGUCGAACUCCAUGCAGCCCACACCUCCCUCCAGUUUACGUUUCCCUGCCGUGGCCUGCAGACCCAUCAUUGCACAACUCUAAAAAUAAAUAAAUUACAUAUUAUAUUAGUUUUUCUAAAUUCUUUUUUAUAAAAAAAACAACAUGAUCACGAGAGACCUUGCCGAGUCUCGAUAUUCUGCUAUAAGCAAAAGAGUAGGCAAAACGGCAUGACUCAGAGGGUCGGCUCGCUGACAGACGUUGGAGAAUGACGUCAGACGACUCCCUACCCUAGCCUGGAAGAAGUCAUCGUUGGAAUGGAUGAUCGAGUGGGCAUGGAAGAGAAGGGGGACACAAAUGGCGAGGGGGACAGAGGAGUGUUGUUACUCAUGGGUUCAAUCAGCAAGCAUGCGGGCCCCUUGUGAAAUACUCCUCUUCAUUUUAUCUUUCCCUCCGUCUUUGUUUUCAUUUUUCUUCUUAUAUUCGUUCACAGAUACAUAUAUCAAAUUUAUGAAAAUAUGUAUUAUUAUUUCAAAUAUUUUAAUAGUAACUUUAUUAUUUUUGUUACUAUUGUUAGUAAAUACAUAUUAAAUCAAAUUUAAAAAAAUUUAAAUAAUAAUGUUUAUUUUUUCUUAAUUAAUUUUUUAAUUUAUAUUUUUUUUUAAUUAAUGAAUGUAAAGUAUAUAAAUGCUAUCUUGCAUCACUUACAGUGAUACCAACUAAGAGAAAUUUAAUCGAUCCAUGCGAUAUAUAACUCUAAAUGAUAAAAUAGAUAUCAAUAAUUUUCAUUCAUAUGUAUAAAUUCAAUUUUAUUAAUUAUUAUUUAAUUAUGCGAAUAAAAAUAAACAAAGAAUCACUUUUUA
Molecule: long non-coding RNA, 1023 nt
Organism: Apis cerana (Asiatic honeybee)
Lineage: Eukaryota; Metazoa; Arthropoda; Insecta; Hymenoptera; Apidae
Source: RefSeq, a predicted model, not a curated record